UCCCUGCUGGCUGAGAGGGUAAAGAGUCUGCCUGCAAUGCAGGAGACCAGGGUUGAUCCCCAGGUUGGGAG
RNAcentral lists this transfer RNA (71 nucleotides) under Ovis aries (sheep). It matches the Rfam family "tRNA". From Rfam's summary of the family: Transfer RNA (tRNA) molecules are approximately 80 nucleotides in length. Lineage: Eukaryota; Metazoa; Chordata; Mammalia; Artiodactyla; Bovidae. The record is from Rfam by way of RNAcentral.